GGAGGAGUAGUCAAGCCUGGCCAAAGAAAGCUUUUGCUUUUGGACACGCGAGACUUAAGAUCAAAAAAUGGGUGAUCUCGUCUCUUAGGGGUUCGUGGGUUCGAAUCCCACCUCCUCCA
RNAcentral lists this transfer RNA (119 nucleotides) under marine sediment metagenome. It matches the Rfam family "tRNA". From Rfam's summary of the family: Transfer RNA (tRNA) molecules are approximately 80 nucleotides in length. Their secondary structure includes four short double-helical elements and three loops (D, anti-codon, and T loops). Further hydrogen bonds mediate the characteristic L-shaped molecular structure. tRNAs have two regions of fundamental functional importance: the anti-codon, which is responsible for specific mRNA codon recognition, and the 3' end, to which the tRNAs corresponding amino acid is attached (by aminoacyl-tRNA synthetases). tRNAs cope with the degeneracy of the genetic code in two manners: having more than one tRNA (with a specific anti-codon) for a particular amino acid; and 'wobble' base-pairing, i.e. permitting non-standard base-pairing at the 3rd anti-codon position. The record is from RNAcentral.